RNAcentral lists this ribosomal RNA (253 nucleotides) under uncultured bacterium. RNAcentral's name for it is "partial 16S ribosomal RNA". It matches the Rfam family "Bacterial small subunit ribosomal RNA", at positions 524 to 776 of the family's 1533-position model. The record is from RNAcentral.
UACGAAGGGGGCUAGCGUUGCUCGGAAUCACUGGGCGUAAAGGGCGCGUAGGCGGCCAUUCAAGUCAGAGGUGAAAGCCCAAGGCUCAACCUUGGAACUGCCUUUGAUACUGUUUGGCUUGAGACCGGUAGAGGUAAGUGGAACUGCGAGUGUAGAGGUGAAAUUCGUAGAUAUUCGGAAGAACACCAGUGGCGAAGGCGACUUACUGGACACGUAUUGACGCUGAGGUGCGAAAGCGUGGGGAGCAAACAGG